GAUGAACGCUGGCGGCGUGCCUAAUACAUGCAAGUCGAGCGAACGGACGAGAAGCUUGCUUUUCUGAUGUUAGCGGCGGACGGGUGAGUAACACGUGGAUAACCUACCUAUAAGACUGGGAUAACUUCGGGAAACCGGAGCUAAUACCGGAUAAUAUUUUGAACCGCAUGGUUCAAAAGUGAAAGACGGUCUUGCUGUCACUUAUAGAUGGAUCCGCGCUGCAUUAGCUAGUUGGUAAGGUAACGGCUUACCAAGGCAACGAUGCAUAGCCGACCUGAGAGGUUGAUCGGCCACCCUGGACCUGAGACACGGUCCAGCCUCCUACGGGAGGCAGCAGUAGGGAAUCUUCCGCAAUGGGCGAAAGCCUGACGGAGCAACGCCGCGUGAGUGAUGAAGGUCUUCGGAUCGUAAAACUCUGUUAUUAGGGAAGAACAUAUGUGUAAGUACUGUGCACAUCUUGACGGUACCUAAUCAGAAAGCCACGGCUAACUACGUG
RNAcentral lists this ribosomal RNA (496 nucleotides) under uncultured bacterium. RNAcentral describes it as "partial 16S ribosomal RNA". It matches the Rfam family "Bacterial small subunit ribosomal RNA", at positions 28 to 507 of the family's 1533-position model. The record is from RNAcentral.